Molecule: non-coding RNA, 5572 nt
Organism: Salmo salar (Atlantic salmon)
Lineage: Eukaryota; Metazoa; Chordata; Actinopteri; Salmoniformes; Salmonidae
Source: RefSeq, a predicted model, not a curated record
UGAAAUCCCCAAGGGAAGGGAAAAGGUGAAAGGAGGAGAGCGCAUAGAUGCGAGAAGGAAUUACACAACAAACACAUUUGUAUGUUAUGUGACCGCUAUGAAAGUGCAUUGUGUUUUAGUGUGAUCAGUGGUGUAUUCAUUCCGCCGAUAAUGUUUAAAAACGUUUCUUAAAUGGUAGCUAACGGAACGAAACGGGGAUAAACAUGCCGGCAUUUGUCCAAAAGAAACUCACGUUUGCAACUGUUGGACUAACGAGUACACCCUAGAUACGCUUGGCGCACAACCGUGAGUCGAGGAAAUUUCUGGUUGCGACAACCACUCAUAUCGCCGUCUGCAACCAAGAAGUAACCAAGAAUUGCACUCGCCAACCAAUCCGAGACACCAGUGCAACCAAGAAGUAACCAAUAAUUAACCAAUGAGGUUAUAGCUAUGGCAGGACCUUUAAACUCUAGAAGAGGACCAUGGAAAAGUACAUUUCCUAUCAGGUAAUUUUGUUCGGGAGUUAUCUUUCUUUUCUGAAGUAACGUUAGCUAUGGCGGGAACUUUAAACGCUAGAAGAGGACCAUGGAAAGAUAUAUUUCCUCUCAGCAGACAUGGAGCCGGGUUCAGAAAACUGCCAAAUGGAAGCCAUGUCUUAACGGACAGUAAGGAUUCCAGGAUUUACAGGACAAAAACUACAAAAAGCGUGUGGAGCAAGGCUGUGUCUCCAGACAAAGUGGUGGAAUCAGCCAGGAGGGCUGUACUGCUCAGAGGUGGCAACCCAACAAGCAGGGCACCUUUGCUGGGUCAGCAUGAGAUGCAGUUUGGCCUUUAUAAGGAGCAGUCUUUCAAGUGGGUGGUUGAAAAUGUGCUGGGCUGGGUAUUUGGUGGCAUCGAUGCAGAAAGAAUCUGCCUCUCAGCCAGCGAGGAGUGAUUUCAAAAACCAUGCUGCUAAUAAGAUGGCUUUCAAGGAAUACAUGGAGCUCUUCCCUGAGGGCCGGGAGGCUAUCAGGAUUAAGUCCACCACCCAGCCAUCCGCCACCACCCAGCCAUUCAAAGACCAGAUGACCACUGGUUACCAGAGGUCCUCAACAUCCUCACUCAGGUCAUUGCUGGUUGGAAAAUUACGCCCCUCCCAGAAUCUCCACAGCACAAUAAGGAAGCUCAUGUCUCCUCGGAAGGUUCAGCCUAUUCUACUUUUCAGCCCUUCCAGCCUCUGAGCCUGAUGAUGGUGAGCUCCUUAUGGCAGCAGAGCAGCUUGAGUCACAGGAGUCAGACGUGCCGCGACCAAUGGAGUUACAAGUAUCAAGUUAUUACAUAUAGUACUGACUGCUCAGCCUCUUUAAGGCUCAUUCUACGUAUUUGUGUGGUGUAUUUAUAGUGAUGACUUACAUUUUAAAUGAUGUACCAGGCCUACACAGUAUGUCUCAUGUGAUAUGAGGACCUGUCCUUGGGGAAUUUAUCAUCAAAACAUUAUUUAUUGUGUUGGGAUGUUGUUGUCUUUUGAUUUCAGGGAGCGACGUAGUAUGCCUUCCCAAGGAUUGGCAACGCACUUUGCCUGAUGUGGACCAUAAGUGGGUGUCCAAGGCAUUGUUCAGGUGGUCGGGCAAUGGGAUUCCAGAGAUGGACUUUGACAGGGUUGACAAAAUGUGGUGGGACCCCCCUCCACCACCCUUCAUCUGCAGCUCAGCACCGGUGAUGGAGAGGUACUUUGCCCAUCCUCUGCUGCUCUGGAUGCCCAGGAAGGUCUGGCAGGUGAAGCUGUAUUGCCCACAUUCUGACUGUGAGAGGGGGGAGUUGACCUCAUCAGGACUCCACCAGAAGAUCAGGCAGGUUGUGGAUGUGGACGGAUCUUACUAUCUGGCAGCAGAAUAACUUUAAUGUCCCAAGUGCAGUAGGAAGGUCAUCAGUUGGAACCACAACAUCCUUUCCCAGCUGGAAAUAAGCCACAGCAUCCAGUUUCCCUGCAUUUUGACAGCUAAACUCAUCUGUGACAUCAAGGUAGUUCAUCUGAUGAGACAGAGGUCUGGGGAACAGCAGCAGCCAUAUACAAAAGAAGGUGGAGGAACAAUGCAGUCCUGGCUGCAGAGGACUAUCCCUUACCUGACUGACUGCAAGCCCCCCCUCCCCUCCUCCCCCUCCCGACAUGACAUCUGUGCCCAAGUACCGCUGGCUAAUGCAGGUAUACGCCCAGGAGGUCCUGCACCGACUGGAUGAGGUCAAGGCCAGCAUUACCUCCCAGUUUGGCACGGUCCUCAAGAUCGACUCAACCAAGAAGGUGGUAAAGAAGCUGGCAAGCCACAGUGCCAAAACUGCUGUGUGGGUCACUAAUGUGGGAAAUGAGCAUGGACAAGCCCUCAUGUCCGUGCUCACAGCCAGUGAGGGCAAAAGGACUGGGCCCUAUGGUCGAUGGCCUCAUUAAAAUGUAUGCGGAUGCUGGAGUCACAACACCUUCCGUCCUGUAUGUGGACAGGGACUGUUGCGGAGCAAGCCACAUUCAGAAGAUGUUCGCUGCCUGGCCACAGCUGAAGAUUAAGCUGGACAUGUGGCACUUCAUGAGGCGCAUGGCAGUUGGUUACAACACCGACUCCCACCAGCUGUAUGCAACAUUCAUGAAUCGUCUCAGCCAGUGCAUUUUCCAGUACGACCAGUAUGACCUAAAAGCACUGAAGGAUGCAAAACGAAAAGAGCUGGAGGCAAAGCUCAUGGGUCCAUUAGAUGCUGAUGUCAUGCGUAACAUCACUUGGAGUGAGCUGGCCCUGCACUGCCGAAGAACCACACGUGGCACAGAGGAGACCCAAGCUCUGAUCACUGAGCUCAUCAAUGGCUUUGAUGGUGAGAAGGGGCGUGACUCCUUGGGUGUGCCUCUGAUUAACUCCUGCAGGAUGGAGGACACAGAUCAAGCAUGUGGCCUGCCUGCAAGACCCAGAGGGUGCCCAGUUGUAUAUCCAGACUGGCAUCAGCAUCAAGGGAGGACUUCCCCUGCCCACAUACAGAUGUGCCAGAAGUUCCACAUCACUAGAAUGCUUCACCUGAACUGAUUCCUCCCAGGUACCCUAGCCAGUGAUACCUUUUAUCAGAUGUACCUGGUUGAUGGAUUGGCACGGUGGAGUCAGGACCAUGCUGUUGCAGCUACAAGUGACAGGAAGGAGCCACACUCCUACUGUGUUAUCCUUCGUCAUGCUGCCAACACCCUCGGGGAGGAGAUGCUUGGAAAGAUUAUGGUUCCUUACACUGUUCCACGCAAAUACACUGGAAAUAUGUUUGGGGUACCUCUUCAAUCAGACUGGUUUGGUGCUGCAGGAUUACGAGGCUGCCAUUGAGGAACUGGAGACAGGUGAUCCUGAUGUCCAAGGGGAGGAUGAUGAGGGCUUUGUGGAGCUUGUGGAAUUUCAGGACCUGACAGUUCCAGUGCUAGAAGCAGCCCUGCCUCUUGGCACCUUUCGUCCUAUUCCCACCCCCUCUACCAGCAUCCAGUCCACAGCUGCAUCAGUCAGUCCCCUAUCUUCCACUCCUGUACGUGCUACUCCACCACUUGGGCCUCUGUCCUCCACACCUGUGCUCGCCAGUCCAUCAGUCAGUCCCGUCACUGUCUGUCGCCUUGGCUGUGUUUGUAAAUUCACUCUGGAAUGCCAGAGUCUGCUCAGAGUGCGCUCUUGGGCGUUCGUAAAUCCAGAGCGUUGUCAGAUUGUCCGUUUGUAAAAUUCAGAGUGUUUCGCUCCCGGAGCAUUUAGAACACACACUGGACGCUCUAGCCAAAGAGUAGGUUUGAUCCGAGCUAGCGUUCUGACCUCACAACAGCAGUCAAGCACCCAAGCUAACUGACUGAAGUUGGCUAGCUUACUAAUGAGAGAACACCUCACUCUGCCCAUUUUAUUCACCCUAGCAGAGCUGGUUAGGCUGCUUUCAUGUUAUCUAGUGCAUUGACUGUAACUGUGCGGCUGGCAACAAUUUACUGACACCCAUCAUAUUCAACAGGUGUUGCGUGUUAUUAAAUGAAUCAGUUGCCCCUUGAUUACUCACAUUUUUCUCUUGACCUGUGCAUCUAUACUGAACAAAAAUCUAACGCAACAUGCAAUAAUUUAAAAGAUUUUACUGAGUUACAGUUCAUAUAAGGAAAUCAGUCAAUUAAAAUAAAUUCAUUAGGCCAUAAUCUAUGGAUUUCACAUGACUGAGAAUACCGAUAUGCCUCUGUUGGUCACAGAUACCUAAAAAAAAGAUAAGGGCGUGGAUAAAAAAAACCCAGUCAGUAUCUGGUGUGACCACCCUUUGCCUCAUGCAGCAAGACACAUCUCCUUCGUAUAAAGUUGAUCAGGCUGUUGAUUGUGGAAAUGUUGUCCCACUCCUCUUCACUGGUGUGUCCAAACUUUUGACUGGUACUGUAUAUAUUUUAGUUCUGUAUACAACUUUCAUUCAUAGGCUAGGUCGUAGCACCCUCAUGAAGGGUAUAUGGAAAAUUAUAGUAUCAUGUAGUAGCCUAAACCUAUCGAUGUUACAUUGAACUGGGUGAAUGGAAUAUGAAUGACAGUCAUCCAAUAUGCUGUAAUAGAAGUAAGGCCAAGCUCAUCAAAAACCAAAUUGUCCUCCCUCAUCUUAAACAUCACUGACCGCCACUGAUACCGUAUAUUGACAAAAUUCAAUAAGCUCAUACACUUCUGAUCUUGAUUCCCUCCAAUGACUGUUUUAUUCAGUUACUGCUUACCCCAAGAUCUCCACUACCACACCGAAGACCACUGUGGCCUGUGAACCCAGCAUCUUCUCUCUCUCUCUCUCUCUCUCUGUCUCUCUGUCUCUCUCUCUCUGUCUGUCAAUGGGAUGGCCUCAGAGACAUAAUUGCUCUAUGCAAAAGAGAAGCCAAUCUCCAUUCCAUUAGAGGCUGUACAAUACAGUGUUGCGGUGAAUCAAAGUUGAUUUGUUAUUCAGCCAUUCUUAUACAGGUAUAUUCAUUUCAUUUUCCUCACAAUGACAGAACUAGAGAAGAAAGGGUGCUAGUAUUUGCAUAGGCAUUAUGGUGAAAGACAAAGAGAGACUGUUAUGUUAUGACAUUUGUGACAUUGGUGUUAUUAUUGCAUGAAUCAAGGAGAGUGCAAUUACUUUAUGUAAGCAUUGUGCAAAUGUCAGACCUGAUGCAAGUCAUUCAAUGGAGCAGAAUGACAAAGUGGAGUACAUCAGUAUAAAACACACACUCCAGUGGGUUUCUUAUAACACUCUAUUUAGUGGCCGUAUCUGAAUCAAUCUCCUACCUUUCGAACCGACCACUCAGUGGCAUGGUUUGCUGCAUAAAGGCAGGUCCGGUGAAUAACAAAACAGAGUUUAACCUUGAAGACUGAAAUUCUGGGGUGGCAUACUGAACAUUGAAAUUACUAUUAGGCUCAAUGAAGAAUGUGACUGUUCACUGGUAACAAACCUGAAACAAACAUUUACUUGUUGUCUGAAUGUCUCUUACUAUUCAGCGGGGAAACCUUUCUAUUGAUGAGAAUGUCAUGCUAGUCCAUUUAGAAUGAUGAGGACUUUGAGACGGUCAUCAGCUACUAUAAUAUUCCGUCCAGGUUCCUCAGAGGGGUUGAGUUAUCAAUAAACCAACCAAGAUCUA